This 252-nucleotide ribosomal RNA is filed under the name uncultured bacterium. Its description in RNAcentral is "partial 16S ribosomal RNA". It matches the Rfam family "Bacterial small subunit ribosomal RNA", at positions 524 to 776 of the family's 1533-position model. The record is from RNAcentral.
UACGUAGGGUGCGAGCGUUAAUCGGAAUUACUGGGCGUAAAGCGUGCGCAGGCGGUGAUGUAAGACCGAUGUGAAAUCCCCGGGCUUAACCUGGGAACUGCAUUGGUGACUGCAUUGCUGGAGUAUGGCAGAGGGGGGUGGAAUUCCACGUGUAGCAGUGAAAUGCGUAGAGAUGUGGAGGAACACCGAUGGCGAAGGCAGCCCCUGGGCCAAUACUGACGCUCAUGCACGAAAGCGUGGGGAGCAAACAGG